Long non-coding RNA from Canis lupus familiaris (dog), 5495 nucleotides. RefSeq lists it as uncharacterized. Lineage: Eukaryota; Metazoa; Chordata; Mammalia; Carnivora; Canidae. The record is from RefSeq and is a predicted model, not a curated record. The transcript has 2 exons.
UUGGCAUGGUUUUUAGAAGGACUCAGGAGCCUGAGCUGGGGAAGGAAGGGAGGGUGAGCCCAGCUCAUGUCCACAGGACACAUGUCAGCAGAAAAUACACACCUAGUCAGAGGAAUGCACUUUCACAUUCUACACACACAUAUGCACAUGAACCCUCAUGAUGUUCAAAGCUGUCUCCUCACCAUUAUCCCAUUUAGGACUCCAAUCAGGGCUGCCUCCUAUGGUUGCUCAUGCCGUGCACUGCACAAUUGUAAGAGCCGCCAGUCACAUGGACUGUGAUGUGAGCAGCACCCCCUGGAGUAGCCUAACACAGUGGCCCUGUUCACAGUAACCUGGGAGGGAGCCAAGGAGACUUGGCCCAUUUUGUAGCUAGUAGAAACUGAAGCUCAGAGACAGCCAGUGACUUACCCAUGGGUCAAAGAAUGAGUCAGUGGUUGGAACAAAUUCUAUGUCAUCCUUUGUCUCCCUCCCCCAGGCAUUUCACAAAGAAUUCCUCUUUCUUUCUAAAACUUUGAUUUACUUUCAAAAACAAAUCAUUUUGAACUUCUAUCUAUUUUUGAAGAGGAGCCAUACUCAUGUGAUACAGAAUUGUAAGGGUACGAAAGGAUAUAAAGAGAAAGCUGUUCCCCAUCCACCCCGACCCCCAAACAGCCCCUGCUGCUGUCCUGUGCCCCCUUCUAGAGACAGUCUGUACACCUGUCACACCAGAGGGCGCGUACAGUGCCUGCACACCUUGCUGUUUUCACAUUACGUGUCCUGCAGUGUAUCAGAACAUUUCAGGCUAUGGGAUUCUUCGUUUUACCCGUGAACAAAAUUCCAUCAAGUGGAGGCCUUAAUUGCUGCCUAAGCAGGACCCACUGGUGUUCAUUCACAUAGGGCGUUUCCAAUCUCUCCUGCAAGCAAAGGAUUGCCAGAUACUCCCCCUCCUCGAGCACAGAGUAUCAUUUCGUAAAUCUGAAAACACACCUCAAGGAUACAUUCUUCAUUUCUUUAAAAUCAAAAUGUUUCAUUUUUGAAACAAACAUAAAACACCAUGAAAGGGCAUAUCAGAAAAUAUAAGAGGAGAUCCAUAUCGCUCACCCCUACUUCCUAGAAGUGACCAAUAAUUCAUAUUAUUUCAUGUCUUGCACCUGUGGCUUAAUAUAUAUGAUUGGUUGCAAAACCAGCCACAACACUUCACACCUCUUUGGGUGCACUGUCCCUUGUGACUUUGUAGCUCGUCCCACUAAGAGUCAGAGUCUGUUUCUCCCUACAUUAAAUCUGAGCUUGGCCCUAUUCCUGGCUUUGGCCAUUAGAAUGUGGAAGUGAUGGUGUGCCAGUUCCAGGCCUAGGUCUCAAGAAGCUUUACAUGCUUCUGCUAACUCUUUUGGAACCUUGCUGCCCCAUGGGAAUAAACCAUGGCUAGCCUGCUGGAAGAUGAGAGAUACAUGGAACAGGGGAGACUCAUCCCAGUUGCCCCAGUCAAAGUUCCAGAGAGCAGCUCCUUGAAAUCUAAUCUGAUGUCCCAACUCCAACCCUUACCCCCUACCCCAUGCCAGCUUCCCCAGCAAAAUCAGAGCCCUCCAUCCAACCAGAGGCAGAGUAUAGCGACCUAGGUAUCUCUACAGAGGUGGGAGGUGGGGGGUGGGCAAGGCUUGGAGGAAGCCAUAUGCAUGCUCAUUUUGUAUGCCAGAGAGCAGAGGUCUUCCAAAUGUGUCUUUGGGAGAAAAAUUGUAAAAUGGUCACCAAAGACUGUCCCUCUUACCUCCUGCCUGUUCUAGUUGGUCUUUCAUUCACUCAACACACUUUUGUUGAGCACCCACUACAUACCAGGUCUAGGUGUCAGGGAUAUAGCCAUGAGCAACACUGACAUUCUCUGCAAGUUACAUGCUAAAUGGAUGAGACAGACAAUAUGCAUUUAAGCUCAUGAUUAUAUGUCAGUAAGUAAUAAGUGUUCAGAAAGAAAUAAAGCAGGGUAAAGAGACAGCAGUGAUGGGAUAGCCAAGGAAUGCCCAUCAGGGAAGGGAUGUGUGAACAGACACUGGAACAAUAACAAGGAGUGAGCCCGGCAGACAUUCUAGGCCAAGGGUGUAACAGCGUGUGCAAAGGCCUGGAGGUCCCUUUGUUCCUAAGAUCCUGAGCUCAAGGUUGGAGUGAGUGUGCAGAAAUGCUGGAGGAACAGCCAGGAGGCAGGUGUGGCUGGAGCAGAGUUAGCAUGGGGUGUGGGGAGUGGGGAACAAGGAUAGAGGUGUCUCCUGUCACUCCACUCCCUCUUCCAAUCCUCAACACCCCCCCUCCCACCAUCUGCAAACUGACCUCUCCAUCCUUUUUCCUCUUGUCCAAGGCUGAUCCCUCCCCCCAAGCUCUGGAUCCCAUUUAGCCCUUUAUGCCUCCUCAGAUGCCUCCUGCCUCCCUCCAGCCUGAGAUUCUUAGCACACAUCAUUCCCUCUCCCUCCAAGUCCUCCCCACCCCUUUUCGCCUAGCUGUGCAUCUUUUCAGGUCCAGGCAGGCCUCACAUUUCCUGAAGGCUUCUCUGGUGCCCCAGGCUGGGUUGGAGGCCCUGUGGGCUCCCUCACUUGCCUGAGCUUCCACCCUGUGGAUCUGACUCACUGGCAAGGUCAUGAGCUCCCAGGGCCUAGCAAAUGUCUGAUUCCCCUUUGCAUCCCCAGGCCUGAGCUCUGGGUUUGGCCAGGUAUGCAGAUGUCAUUCCUAUGGCUUCAGGCUAAGACAUCUGGCUCCCCAGAUGUGUCUUCUGCACCAUCUCCCCUGCUUGUCCCUGUAGCCUGGGACAGUUGAGUCUCCGCCACCAAGACCUAUUUGCUGCUCACUAAGCCGAUCUGGUGUUUCCUGUCCACCCCCACCAUAAUAAGCCACUCCCAUUCCUGUCUCCUUAGCCCAAAUCUCCUCCAUCAAAACCAGCUGGAGCCUGUUUUGAUUGGAGCAGCACAAAGCACACGAGAAACAGCUAGACAGGUACGUUGUAUGAUGUCUGCCUGGCCCUCAGCUUCCUCACCCAUUGGCUGGGGAUGCAGUGGUACCCAAAGCAUAGGGCAGGGGUGGGGAGUGGAUGGUGUGUGCUUACCCUGUCUAUUCCCCUUGGCCCUGGAAUCCCUGAGGUGCUAGAGUUAUCUCUGUAACCCCCCUCAGUGUCCAGAAUAUAACAGCUUCUCAGCAAAUAUAUACGAAAUAUAUAAAGAUGCCAUACUUUAUGGUUUCCAUUGCACAAACAUUAUUGUGUUCUGUCCUCGCAGCAAUUCUUACCAGCAUCCCGUCAUUUCAUAUGAGCACACUGUGGCUCCUGAGCCAGGAAGACGGAGUCAGGAGGGCCUUGGCCAUCAGCUUUGGCAAGACUCCUACCAGACAUUCAGAGAGGUUGUGGGAUCCGCCCAAGGCCAGCCCUUGAAUCCUGAUCCUUAGAUUCCAGAUCCUAAGCUCAAAACCCUUGCACAUUCUUAAGUCCUCCCUAUGACACUCUGAAGUGAGCAAUGAUAUCACGCCCAUUUUAUAGCCCAGAAAACUGAGGCCCAGCUUGUGAAUGACAGAGGCAGAACUUGACCCCAAGUCUGGGGACUAUCUCUGUGUUCCUCACACAUCUCCAUACGUAAGCCGAUUGAUAAUAAGGAGAGAUGUUUUCUUUCCCUCUCUUUUGGCCUUUUUCCUAUUUUUGAGGAUUUAGGGUAGCAGCUGUCCUGGAAAAAACAGGACAUGCAGUGCCCAGCCAGGCACCGGCUGGCUGGAGGUGGGAGGCAGGAGCUGUGAAUUAAUUGGUCAGCCCCUUUGAGUUGGGAGCAAGCCUCUGAGUGCAUCUCCAUUGUUUUGCGGCUUAGAGACCUGGGGAGGUGGAGUGCCUCACCUCCCAGCGGCCACACGUUGACCUUGGAGCUGGGGUGUAACUUCAGGCACUGUUGACGAAUGGAAAGUAGCUGGAGUCCUGGGGCGGGGAUACUGCCCUGUUUGUGUUUUGUCAUCUGUCUUUGGUGUCCCAGGCUUUAGGGCUGGGUUAGGACUGUAAAAGCAGGGAUGGUCUUAACGUUUGGUUAUUUCUUGGCAUGAAGAGGUAGGAUGUGGGCAUCCUGCAGCAUUUAGCUGACAUCCAUAUCCAAUGGUAAAAUCAUGUCUCCUGCCUGGGACUGCUACACGGACAUGCAAUUAGUACCUGGCAACACACACACGCACACACACAAGGGUCUGCGGAGCCCCAAAGCUGAGGAAAUCCUGCAGGUUUUGAAGCAUUUAGUCAACACCUACUGUAUACCAGGCACGCACUGACCACAACACUGGCUAGGGGUGCUGCGGAUGACCUUGGUGCACCCUUAGCCUCCUGAAGCCUUGGUUGCCUCAGCUGGAAGGAGGAGAUAAUGAUAAUACUGGCCUCAUGAUCCUGUAGACAAUGAGGGGGAUAAACACCACAGCCUCGAGAGGGUCCAUCCCAGCUGCCAAAGUACUGGUCAGGAACUGAAGCACAAACGGCUCUGUGAAAAUUAAAUAAUUUGGCUCCUCCAAAUCUUAGGAGAUUUUUUUUUAUCAAUUUCAUGUCAUGGACUGGAUGGAAUUGGAACUAAAAUCCACAUGACUUUUGAAUGAAAUACACAUGGGAAAGAGAGAAGAAGAAAACUCAUGCUGACUACUCAUAAUAGCCAAGAUAGGGAAACAGCCUAGGUGUCCAGCAUCGAUAAAUGAAUGGAUAAAGAAGAUGUGGUGUUCACGUACAACGGAAUAGUAUUCAGCCAUGAGGAAGAAGGCAAGCCUGCCAUUUGCUGUGGCUUGGAUGAAACUUGAGAGCAUGAUGCUAAGCGAGGUAACUCAGAGAAAAACAAAUACUAUAUGGUCUCACCUGUAGGCGGAAUCUGAAAAAGUCAAACUCAGAGAAACGGAGUAGAGUCGUGGUCGCCAGGCAUCAGGAGUGUGGAAAAUGGGGAGCUCUUGGUCAAAGGUAGGGCGCCUUGUCUUCUGUUGAAAUCCUUGCCUCCCGAAGGCCAUAAAGACUGCCUUGAAUGCUCUACACUGCAGUCUAUCAUCCACCUUGGAUCAUGUCUAUGCAUGGAGCAUCAAGUCAAGGUUUGCGAUUUUCCAUAUGAUGUCCAGUCAUUCCAGCAUGAUGUGUUGAAAGUCAUUCCUUUCCCCCACUGAACUGCUGUGGUGCUUUGGAAUAUGGAACACUGCAUAGCAACAAACACAAGAAGCUGCUGCCUCCUAUGACAGCAUGGGUAAAGUCUGUAGAUUUUACGGUAAACGAGAGAAGCCAGACACAAAGGAAUGUGCAGCACGAUUCCAUUUAUAGGAUGUUCCAAAGAGGCCUCUGCAGUGACAGGGUGAUAGUGGAUGCCUUGGGGUGGGGUGUCACCUGGGAGGGGGCACAAGGGAUCCUUCUGGGGUGUGGAAGUGUUCUUUAUCUCCACCUUGGGUGGUGCUCCACAGGUGUCUGCAAAUGAAAACAAAAAUCGAUGAGCUGUACCAUUAGGAACAUUCUUUUAAAUUAGUGUGCAAACAGCCACUGUUUGUAUGCUAUAUGCUGA